AUGGCUCAGGACGAACGCUGGCGGCGUGCUUCAUACAUGCAAGUCGAACGAUAAGGCACCUUCGGGUGUACAUAAGUGGCGGACGGGUGAGUAAAAUGUAGAGAAUCUACCCUAGAGAGGGGGGACAACAGAGGGAAACUUCUGCUAAUACCCCAUAUGAGCGUAGCUGAGAUGCUAUUCUUGAAGACUCCGGUGCUCUGGGAUGAGUCUGCAUCUGAUUAGCUAGUUGGGGGUGUAAUGGACCACCAAGGCGACGAUCAGUAGCUGGUUUGAGAGGAUGAUCAGCCACAAUGGGACUGAGACACGGCCCAUACUCCUACGGGAGGCAGCAGUAGGGAAUUUUGCGCAAUGGGCGAAAGCCUGACGCCAGCAACGCCGCGUGAUCGAGACGCUUUUCGGGGUGUAAAGAUCUGUCAGUAGGGACGAACAAUGACGGUACCUACAGAGGAAGCACCGGCUAACUCCGUGCCAGCCGCAGC
Molecule: ribosomal RNA, 479 nt
Filed under: uncultured bacterium
Lineage: Bacteria
Description: bacterial SSU rRNA
Rfam family: Bacterial small subunit ribosomal RNA
Source: RNAcentral